GCAAAUUUCUCCCCGUGUUCGAGCCGCAACAAGCAAUCGCGCAAAAACCCUCUCCUCCUCGAGAACCCUAGUCCAAGCCCGGCGAGCGUGAAGGCGGCUACGGGGAGGACGAUGGAGCACCAGGCGGGAGGCGGAGGCGUUGCCGGCGGCCGCGCGCUCGGGGCUGCGGUUCCUCGGGCGCCUCUUGAUCUGGACCCGGACUGGAAAUACAAUUGGUCCAUGGGUAAUGUCAAUCGAGGAGAUCACAAGAGGAAGGCUGCAUCACUCAUUGAUGACGAUGAAGAAGAAGAUAAGGAGCCUUUGCCAUAUGCGACAAAUCCUCAGCACAUUUGGAAUUGGAGGAAAGCUAGUAAUCCAAAGGCAAUGUUCAGCGGAACAUCAGCAGGCAGAAGUACGAAAUAAUCAGUCAGAGCUGAUCGCAUGCACACUUGAACCAAAGUAUAUGUGUCAUGAUGAGAAGUUGAACCGUUCCAAUCGGGAGCUGGUUGGUCUGUACAAUCAGAUUGGAUUAAGAAGAAGGAAUCUUAUCAGAAAAGCUUACAGAAGGGUUUCUCUGGGGCGUGAUUUGAAGUCACAGCUUAAAGACAUCUUACAACUGCUGAAGGUCGCAAAGAAUCUACACAAGGAUAUCCUUGACCGAGGUGGUACUCCAGCACCCAUACCUGCCCACUUCGAAGAUAAAAAACGGUUCUACUGAUAGGGCAGCUGACAAUACCUGACAGUUUUUGGAAAAGUAACGCACGCUGGACAGAGAUCCAUCAACUCGAAAGCUGCGCCACUGACUUCUGGAUGUUUGGCCAUCGGCAUUUUAUUUUUGUCUUGCCAUCGACAUGUUAUUGUACAGCUAUUUUGUUCUUGCUGAUGCUACUACAUGCUGCCCGAUUUAACCAUGAAUGUUGCUGAAGCUUCUAGAAGGUCAUGCCGUGAUUAUACAGCUAUUUCGUUCUUGCUGAUGCUACUGCAUGCGCCUCGAUUUACUUUUGAAUGUUGCUGAAGCUUCUAUAAGCCCCUUGAUUCUCUUGUGAUUGUUGCUGAUGCUUUCACAUGCUCCUUGAUUUUCCUUCAAUGUUUCUGAUGAUACUACAUGCUCCUUGAUUCAUUUAUGUUUCGGAU
Oryza brachyantha (malo sina) is the source of this 1113-nucleotide RNA transcript. RefSeq lists it as uncharacterized. The record is from RefSeq and is a predicted model, not a curated record. The transcript is spliced from 6 exons. NCBI's taxonomy places the organism in Eukaryota, Viridiplantae, Streptophyta, Magnoliopsida, Poales, Poaceae.